This 74-nucleotide transfer RNA is filed under the name bacterium. Its description in RNAcentral is "tRNA-Met". It matches the Rfam family "tRNA". From Rfam's summary of the family: Transfer RNA (tRNA) molecules are approximately 80 nucleotides in length. Their secondary structure includes four short double-helical elements and three loops (D, anti-codon, and T loops). Further hydrogen bonds mediate the characteristic L-shaped molecular structure. tRNAs have two regions of fundamental functional importance: the anti-codon, which is responsible for specific mRNA codon recognition, and the 3' end, to which the tRNAs corresponding amino acid is attached (by aminoacyl-tRNA synthetases). tRNAs cope with the degeneracy of the genetic code in two manners: having more than one tRNA (with a specific anti-codon) for a particular amino acid; and 'wobble' base-pairing, i.e. permitting non-standard base-pairing at the 3rd anti-codon position. The record is from RNAcentral.
GCCGGCGUAGCUCAGAUGGUUAGAGCAGUGGAAUCAUAAUCCAUUUGUCGGGGGUUCGAGUCCCUCCGCCGGCA